This 432-nucleotide ribosomal RNA is filed under the name uncultured bacterium. Its description in RNAcentral is "partial 16S ribosomal RNA". It matches the Rfam family "Bacterial small subunit ribosomal RNA", at positions 338 to 795 of the family's 1533-position model. The record is from RNAcentral.
CCUACGGGAGGCAGCAGUGGGGAAUAUUGCGCAAUGGGCGGAAGCCUGACGCAGCGACGCCGCGUGGGGGAUGACGGCCUUCGGGUUGUAAACCUCUUUCGACCGGGACGCGGUACCGGUAUAAGAAGCACCGGCCAACUACGUGCCAGCAGCCGCGGUAAUACGUAGGGUGCGAGCGUUGUCCGGAAUUAUUGGGCGUAAAGAGCUCGUAGGCGGUCUGUCGCGUCGGUCGUGAAAACUUGGGGCUUAACCCUGAGCUUGCGGUCGAUACGGGCAGACUGGAGUUCGGCAGGGGAGACUGGAAUUCCUGGUGUAGCGGUGAAAUGCGCAGAUAUCAGGAGGAACACCGGUGGCGAAGGCGGGUCUCUGGGCCGAACUGACGCUGAGGAGCGAAAGCGUGGGGAGCGAACAGGAUUAGAUACCCUUGUAGUC